RNAcentral lists this long non-coding RNA (1691 nucleotides) under Anser cygnoides (Swan goose). RNAcentral's name for it is "lncRNA (ENSACDG00005008582.1)". The record is from RNAcentral. Lineage: Eukaryota; Metazoa; Chordata; Aves; Anseriformes; Anatidae.
GGACCGCUCAGAGCCGCGCUGGCCUCCUCCAAGGGGGACCCUCCAUCCCCCUGCUCCCCGCUGCAGCACCAGGAGCGGUGGCAGUCCAGGUGUGAAAAACCCACAGACAUCUUUGGGUGCUCGGGCCCCUUGCAGCAAACUGCUCUGGCUCACCUCCAGGGUGUGGAUGCGUGCUCCAUGCUUGUUCUGUUAACUCUGAAGCCUAACGAGAACUGUGGUCAGAGUGGCUUUACCAGGUCACCCAUCGCUGGGUGCUGAAGGUCCAAAUCCCUGUUGCACUUUGCCUCUGUUUCACCAUCCACAGAAUUUGGAUAAUGGCUUUUAAUCAGCUUGAAGAGCUUUAAGACUCUUUCAGGGUGGGUUUCAGGUAUGGCCUUGCUUGCAAGGGCCUUGGGGUCUCAGUUUUCCUCAUGCGUUGGUAAAGCUUUCUGGCUCCUGUUGCCUCCACUGUCUCAGCAGCAAUAGGAGGUUAGAUGGUGGUGGCAGCCCUGGAGGUCAGUGCUGGCUCUUCAGAGGCUGGGGGAGUUAUGUUUUUGUCCUGCUGCCGCUCUGCAGAAAGCAUCGGCUGUUUCUGGCAGUGCUUUUCACUGCACUCAGCCGUCUGACGUGUAGAGAGGUGGUGCCCUGCAGUCCUUCACCGUGUGAUGCUCACGGGAGUGCUGGGUCGGGUGUUUGUGGUCGUGGAUCCAUGGUGAGACGUUGGGUAGCAGCGUGGUGGAGGGCUAAAGCUCGCUUCUGAGCGUGUAAAACUAGCAAGUCUCUGCAGCAUGAAAAAGGCUUCCUUGUGUCACAAGCUCCAUUUGCAUGGCUCGUCUCGCACCGCUGAGCUAUGUGCCAGCUCAUCAGGUCCCACAGCACCCGCCGGCUCGUUGCAUGCCUGGAGAUGCAAAGGCAAAGUCUGGAGAAGUUUAGUGCACAGCAGCCCUGCCCUGGUUUCCCAAACUGCUCCAGCCUGAGCUCCAAAGUGAGCCGAAAGCUCUGGGUGCAGGAGCGCUGUGUGGGUGGGCCAGAGAUGUUGUUUGUGGCCCUUUGCUGCCCAGGGGAAGCUCAGAAGUGCAGUUCUACCCCCAAAACCAGUCUGCUUGAGGGAAGGAAGCCGUCACUUCUACAGGGCUUUUGGUGCAUUCCCACCUGUAUUAAGGUUCAAGACCUUCUGCAUAUCACAGCAUGGAUGGGGGUCAUGGGAAGGAGAACCCAAAUGCUGGAAUUUGUCUUUCCAAGCUGAUCUUUCAUCUCUUUCCUCUCUCUCCUUGCCUGAUCUAUCUCUAUCUUUAGGCUGAGCUGCUUCUUAGCACAGCGAGGGCAGGAACAAAGCUGAAACGCUGCUUGAGAUUCCCUGACUCCAACCUGAAUGUGAAUCCUUGCACCUUGCAUGCUGUCAGGGAUCGCUGCCUUUCGGCCUUGCCUUUGGUGGGUGGUAUCUGUUUCCCUGAGGCUCCCCUUGGUCCUGCAGUGGGAAGAACAGGGUUGAAUGAGGGAUUUUUACACCUUUCUCAUAAUGGAAAUUUCUUCCUGGCUAAAUGAAAAUGGUGGAUGCCUUCCUUAAGUUUUCCUAAUGCACAGUAGUCGCUUUCUUAAAGGCCUUACAGUUUCUUGUUAGAAACGUGCAAGCCACAAACUGAUGUUGGUUUGGUUUUGACCACAGAUUUUCAGUUGUAAAUACAUAAAUAAGACCUUUCUGAUGAGCCUGG